GCAGUAGCCACGGGAAUACAGAGGGUGCGAGCGUUAAUCGGAUUUACUGGGCGUAAAGCGUGCGUAGGCGGCUUUUUAAGUCGGAUGUGAAAUCCCUGAGCUUAACUUAGGAAUUGCAUUCGAUACUGGGAAGCUAGAGUAUGGGAGAGGAUGGUAGAAUUCCAGGUGUAGCGGUGAAAUGCGUAGAGAUCUGGAGGAAUACCGAUGGCGAAGGCAGCCAUCUGGCCUAAUACUGACGCUGAGGUACGAAAGCAUGGGGAGCAAACAGGAUUAGAUACCCGAGUAGUCCCUGUCUCUUAUAC
This 302-nucleotide ribosomal RNA is filed under the name uncultured bacterium. Its description in RNAcentral is "partial 16S ribosomal RNA". It matches the Rfam family "Bacterial small subunit ribosomal RNA", at positions 508 to 807 of the family's 1533-position model. The record is from RNAcentral.